Molecule: ribosomal RNA, 126 nt
Filed under: Pteropus vampyrus (large flying fox)
Lineage: Eukaryota; Metazoa; Chordata; Mammalia; Chiroptera; Pteropodidae
Source: RNAcentral
AUUUGCAGGAGACUUUGGGAAGAAUCUAAAAAUUGUGAAUUUCAAUCUGAUCUUGGAAGCUAAGCAGGAUCGAACCUGGUUAGUACUUGGAAGGGAGACCACCUAGAAGACCAGGUGCUGCAGCUG